Molecule: ribosomal RNA, 497 nt
Filed under: uncultured bacterium
Lineage: Bacteria
Description: partial 16S ribosomal RNA
Rfam family: Bacterial small subunit ribosomal RNA
Source: RNAcentral
GAUGAACGCUGGCGGCGUGCCUAAUACAUGCAAGUCGAGCGAACAGACGAGGAGCUUGCUCCUCUGACGUUAGCGGCGAACGGGUGAGUAACACGUGGAUAACCUACCUAUAAGACUGGGAUAACUUCGGGAAACCGGAGCUAAUACCGGAUAAUAUAUUGAACCGCAUGGUUCAAUAGUGAAAGACGGUUUUGCUGUCACUUAUAGAUGGAUCCGCGCCGCAUUAGCUAGUUGGUAAGGUAACGGCUUACCAAGGCAACGAUGCGUAGCCGACCUGAGAGGGUGGUCGGCCACACGGGAACUGAGACACGGUCCAGACUCCUACGGGAGGCAGCAGUAGGGAAUCUUCCGCAAUGGGCGAAAGCCUGACGGAGCAACGCCGCGUGAGUGAUGAAGGUCUUCGGAUCGUAAAACUCUGUUAUUAGGGAAGAACAAAUGUGUAAGUAACUAUGCACGUCUUGACGGUACCUAAUCAGAAAGCCACGGCUAACUACGUG